Molecule: long non-coding RNA, 342 nt
Organism: Pantherophis guttatus
Lineage: Eukaryota; Metazoa; Chordata; Lepidosauria; Squamata; Colubridae
Source: RefSeq, a predicted model, not a curated record
AGUUCCGGUUGUCAUGGUAACCCAAGGUGUGUCAGUUGUUGAAGAGGAAACAAGAGAAAACCCCAGUCCCGGACAAUGCCGUGCUCCAUGGGGUACCGGAUGGAUAACAAACCUCGGUGUUCCUACAGGAGAAAGAGAAAUAAUUCUGCUACAGAGGAUGGCACCCAGCAGCCAGAAGAGGAAUCCCCUCGGGUGGGGAGAACAGAUAAUGUCCAAAAUAUAUCACCUCUGUCUACAUGGACGCAACAGAAAAGUUCAAAGGUGGCCUAUUGCAAAGCACACCAAACCUCUCUAAAACUCCUAUUUGCCUAUGAGUGUUAAAUAAAUCAUCGUCUAGCUAUA